RNAcentral lists this ribosomal RNA (476 nucleotides) under Enterobacteriaceae bacterium EF20. Its description in RNAcentral is "bacterial SSU rRNA". It matches the Rfam family "Bacterial small subunit ribosomal RNA", at positions 8 to 476 of the family's 1533-position model. Lineage: Bacteria; Pseudomonadati; Pseudomonadota; Gammaproteobacteria; Enterobacterales; Enterobacteriaceae. The record is from RNAcentral.
AGAGUUUGAUCCUGGCUCAGAUUGAACGCUGGCGGCAGGCCUAACACAUGCAAGUCGAACGGUAGCACAGAGAGCUUGCUCUCGGGUGACGAGUGGCGGACGGGUGAGUAAUGUCUGGGAAACUGCCUGAUGGAGGGGGAUAACUACUGGAAACGGUAGCUAAUACCGCAUAACGUCGCAAGACCAAAGAGGGGGACCUUCGGGCCUCUUGCCAUCAGAUGUGCCCAGAUGGGAUUAGCUAGUAGGUGGGGUAACGGCUCACCUAGGCGACGAUCCCUAGCUGGUCUGAGAGGAUGACCAGCCACACUGGAACUGAGACACGGUCCAGACUCCUACGGGAGGCAGCAGUGGGGAAUAUUGCACAAUGGGCGCAAGCCUGAUGCAGCCAUGCCGCGUGUAUGAAGAAGGCCUUCGGGUUGUAAAGUACUUUCAGCGGGGAGGAAGGUGUUGUGGUUAAUAACCACAGCAAUGACGUA